Pomacea canaliculata is the source of this 1184-nucleotide RNA transcript. RefSeq lists it as uncharacterized. Lineage: Eukaryota; Metazoa; Mollusca; Gastropoda; Architaenioglossa; Ampullariidae. The record is from RefSeq and is a predicted model, not a curated record. The transcript is spliced from 3 exons.
UGUCUGCGUGCCGCACGCAGGAGUCACAGGAAGAGGGCGGGUGGUCUCGUCCGCACGCAACCGCCAUGGCAUGGUCUAGUUACUGAAUGGGGCAAACAGCAACAGCAGCUGCCGAUGUCAGGUCCUCACAGUAAACACAAACAAAGUCUCUGGUGUGGCACUGCCUUGCUCCGGUUAGUGAAGUGGAAGUUGCAGGAACGACAAGUUGCCCUUUCACCUGUUCACACCAUUUGCUGUAAUCUGUGAGAAAGAUUGAUUUUCGGGAUGGGCUGCAAGCUACAAAUCAUGGCGACAUCUACCUCUGGUUACAGCCAAUCAGCAACCAGCACCUGGCCUGCCAGCAGCCAAUCAGUGACCAGCACCGGCCUUGACGUCAACUGCCAGGGACCUGAGACUGAAGGGCGUCAGGAUCGCUAUGAUUCGCAGUUCACGGAGAAAACAGUCUACAAAUCAUGGCGACAUCUACCUCUGGUUACAGCCAAUCAGCGACCAGCUCCUGGCCUGCCAGCAGCCAAUCAGCGACCAGCACCGGCCUUGACGUCAACUGCCAGGGACCUGAGACCGAAGGGCGUCAGGAUCGCUACACUGAAGGGCGUCAGGAUCGCUAUGAUUCGCAGUUCACGGAGAAAACUUUUUCCUCGGCAGACAAGGACGAAGACUCGUCUACAAGAAAACUUACGCCACCGGAAAAAGCGAGUUACAGUUCCUGUGACUCAAUGGAAACCCAAGGGAGCACCACCAGCGUAGUGUUGACGGAUGCCAGGCGAGUUACAAUCCUGAUGACCGAACUGGAACUGAUAUGAUAUCAAAGUUGUAAUCAUGGCUGACUCAUUGAGGAAUUCUGUACCUAAAGCCUUUGUAGAUUAUAGCAUCACAAUUACAGCGCAGUCAAAUUAAAAGCCAAGCGCCCAAGUACGUAUACGCGUGUGUGAAGAAUUACUUGCUAUAAAGUGUUUGAACAUUUGGAGAGUUCAGAACAAAACAAACGACUGGAAUCCAAGUGGAGGUGUAAAAAAAAAACGAUCAUCCUCUGAUUUCAUGGGAGUAAAGCGUAAUUCUAUGAGAGUACACAAAGAUUGUUCACAGACAGAAUGCUGAGAGAUUUCCAUUUUAUUAACAUGUAAAUUCGUGAAGAUUUUUGAUUUGCACAAAUUUAAAAAUGGGCUUGACAAAACCUAAACUAC